RNAcentral lists this ribosomal RNA (506 nucleotides) under uncultured bacterium. Its description in RNAcentral is "bacterial SSU rRNA". It matches the Rfam family "Bacterial small subunit ribosomal RNA", at positions 30 to 518 of the family's 1533-position model. The record is from RNAcentral.
AUUGAACGCUGGCGGCGUGCUUAACACAUGCAAGUCGAACGCGAAAGGGACUUCGGUCCUGAGUAAAGCGGCGCACGGGUGAGUAACGCGUGGAUAAUCUGCCCUUAUGAUCGGGAUAACAGUUGGAAACGGCUGCUAAUACCGGAUACGCUCAAAAUGAACUUUUUGAGGAAAGAUGGCCUCUGCUUGCAUGCUAUCACGUAAGGAUGAGUCCGCGUCCCAUUAGCUUGUUGGCGGGUAACGGCCACCAAGGCAACGAUGGGUAGCCGAUUUGAGAGGAUGAUCGGCCACACUGGAACUGAAACACGGUCCAGACUCCUACGGGAGGCAGCAGUGGGGAAUAUUGCGCAAUGGGCGAAAGCCUGACGCAGCGACGCCGCGUGAGGGAUUGAAGGUUUUCGGAUCGUAAACCUCUGUCAGAAGGGAAGAAACUACGUUGUGCUAAUCAGCAGCGUACUGACGGUACCUUCAAAGGAAGCACCGGCUAACUCCGUGCCAGCAGCCGC